GUGUCAGUAGCUCAGUUGGAUAGAGCACCGGCCUUCUAAGCCGGUUGUCGGGGGUUCGAAUCCCUUCUGGCACA
RNAcentral lists this transfer RNA (74 nucleotides) under Clostridium sp. CAG:411. It matches the Rfam family "tRNA". From Rfam's summary of the family: Transfer RNA (tRNA) molecules are approximately 80 nucleotides in length. Their secondary structure includes four short double-helical elements and three loops (D, anti-codon, and T loops). Lineage: Bacteria; Bacillati; Bacillota; Clostridia; Eubacteriales; Clostridiaceae. RNAcentral also lists the same sequence under 1 other name. The record is from Rfam by way of RNAcentral.